This 1644-nucleotide ribosomal RNA is filed under the name Salmonella enterica. RNAcentral's name for it is "partial 23S ribosomal RNA". It matches the Rfam family "Bacterial large subunit ribosomal RNA", at positions 1292 to 2915 of the family's 2925-position model. Lineage: Bacteria; Pseudomonadati; Pseudomonadota; Gammaproteobacteria; Enterobacterales; Enterobacteriaceae. The record is from RNAcentral.
GAAUGCUGACAUAAGUAACGAUAAAGCGGGUGAAAAGCCCGCUCGCCGGAAGACCAAGGGUUCCUGUCCAACGUUAAUCGGGGCAGGGUGAGUCGACCCCUAAGGCGAGGCCGAAAGGCGUAGUCGAUGGGAAACGGGUUAAUAUUCCCGUACUUGGUGUUACUGCGAAGGGGGGACGGAGAAGGCUAUGUUGGCCGGGCGACGGUAGUCCCGGUUUAAGCGUGUAGGCUGGUUUUCCAGGCAAAUCCGGAAAAUCAAGGCUGAGGCGUGAUGACGAGGCACCACGGUGCUGAAGCAACAAAUGCCCUGCUUCCAGGAAAAGCCUCUAAGCAUCAGGUAACAUCAAAUCGUACCCCAAACCGACACAGGUGGUCAGGUAGAGAAUACCAAGGCGCUUGAGAGAACUCGGGUGAAGGAACUAGGCAAAAUGGUGCCGUAACUUCGGGAGAAGGCACGCUGACACGUAGGUGAAGUGAUUUACUCACGGAGCUGAAGUCAGUCGAAGAUACCAGCUGGCUGCAACUGUUUAUUAAAAACACAGCACUGUGCAAACACGAAAGUGGACGUAUACGGUGUGACGCCUGCCCGGUGCCGGAAGGUUAAUUGAUGGGGUCAGCGCAAGCGAAGCUCCUGAUCGAAGCCCCGGUAAACGGCGGCCGUAACUAUAACGGUCCUAAGGUAGCGAAAUUCCUUGUCGGGUAAGUUCCGACCUGCACGAAUGGCGUAAUGAUGGCCAGGCUGUCUCCACCCGAGACUCAGUGAAAUUGAACUCGCUGUGAAGAUGCAGUGUACCCGCGGCAAGACGGAAAGACCCCGUGAACCUUUACUAUAGCUUGACACUGAACAUUGAGCCUUGAUGUGUAGGAUAGGUGGGAGGCUUUGAAGCGUGGACGCCAGUCUGCGUGGAGCCGACCUUGAAAUACCACCCUUUAAUGUUUGAUGUUCUAACGUGGACCCGUAAUCCGGGUUGCGGACAGUGUCUGGUGGGUAGUUUGACUGGGGCGGUCUCCUCCUAAAGAGUAACGGAGGAGCACGAAGGUUGGCUAAUCCUGGUCGGACAUCAGGAGGUUAGUGCAAUGGCAUAAGCCAGCUUGACUGCGAGCGUGACGGCGCGAGCAGGUGCGAAAGCAGGUCAUAGUGAUCCGGUGGUUCUGAAUGGAAGGGCCAUCGCUCAACGGAUAAAAGGUACUCCGGGGAUAACAGGCUGAUACCGCCCAAGAGUUCAUAUCGACGGCGGUGUUUGGCACCUCGAUGUCGGCUCAUCACAUCCUGGGGCUGAAGUAGGUCCCAAGGGUAUGGCUGUUCGCCAUUUAAAGUGGUACGCGAGCUGGGUUUAGAACGUCGUGAGACAGUUCGGUCCCUAUCUGCCGUGGGCGCUGGAAGACUGAGGGGGGCUGCUCCUAGUACGAGAGGACCGGAGUGGACGCAUCACUGGUGUUCGGGUUGUCAUGCCAAUGGCACUGCCCGGUAGCUAAAUGCGGAAAAGAUAAGUGCUGAAAGCAUCUAAGCACGAAACUUGCCCCGAGAUGAGUCUUCCCUGAGACUUUGAGUCUCCUGAAGGAACGUUAAAGACGAUGACGUUGAUAGGCCGGGUGUGUAAGCGCAGCGAUGCGUUGAGCUAACCGGUACUAAUGAACCGUGAGG